Molecule: ribosomal RNA, 497 nt
Filed under: uncultured bacterium
Lineage: Bacteria
Description: partial 16S ribosomal RNA
Rfam family: Bacterial small subunit ribosomal RNA
Source: RNAcentral
GAUGAACGCUGGCGGCGUGCCUAAUACAUGCAAGUCGAGCGAACAGACGAGGAGCUUGCUCCUCUGACGUUAGCGGCGGACGGGUGAGUAACACGUGGAUAACCUACCUAUAAGACUGGGAUAACUUCGGGAAACCGGAGCUAAUACCGGAUAAUAUAUUGAACCGCAUGGUUCAAUAGUGAAAGACGGUUUUGCUGUCACUUAUAGAUGGAUCCGCGCCGCAUUAGCUAGUUGGUAAGGUAACGGCUUACCAAGGCAACGAUGCGUAGCCGACCUGAGAGGGGGAUAGGGCCAAACGGAAAAGAGAAAAGGGCCAGAAUCCCAAGGGGGGGAACAGGAGGGAAACUUCCGCAAAGGGGGAAAGGCGGAAGGGAAAAAGGCGGGGGGGGGAAGAAGGGUUUUGGAACGGAAAAACUUUGUUUUAGGGAAGAAAAAAUGGGGAAAGAAACAAGCAAGUCUUGAAGGGAACUAAUCAGAAAAACACGGGUAAAUAAGGG